Long non-coding RNA from Solenopsis invicta (red fire ant), 1234 nucleotides. RefSeq lists it as uncharacterized. Lineage: Eukaryota; Metazoa; Arthropoda; Insecta; Hymenoptera; Formicidae. The record is from RefSeq and is a predicted model, not a curated record. The transcript is spliced from 5 exons.
UUUUAAAGUAUGCGGCUCUUUAUAUUUUAUUAUAAUAUUUAUCUAUUGCAUUAUUUCUUAAAAAGAUAUAAAGACUGGUUUAUCAGAAGAAGGGAAAGCUACCUUACUCACGAAAAUGUCUUUGGAAAAAGGGAAGCCAUAUCCUGUCACAUAGAAGAUACAAUAUUCGUUGCACCACCGAACUUAUGACAAGUGAUUUAUUUAUUCCAAUUAUGUUUGCACCCAUUGCUUGUGCGACAGCAUUGAAAAUAUUACAUUCUCCAUGGAGGUGAAUUAAUUUGGCGUCAACAAUGUGCGAGAUUUAAUACCAAAUGGACAAUAAUACCAUUAUUGUUACGGAAAAGACCAAACUUGAAUAUAUUAGGCUCAUGUGUCAAAUGAAAAUGACUGGAGCUAUUUGUAAGCAGUCUAUUCUUGGAAGGAUUUUAUGAUAUUAUGCUUAAACGACCAAUUUUCAUAUUUAAUGAACAAGAACUUGAACUAUUGAUCAGUGGCUUGCCUACUGUAAAUAUCUUAAAGGAGGAUCUUAAAGCAAAUAUUGAGUAUCAUAAAUACACUGCUACAUUUUUAUAGAUUCAAUGGUUCUGCUGCAUUGCGAGGUUUUAAUCAAGCGGAUUGUUCGAAGUUCUUACAAUUCAUCACUGGUACAUCUAAAGUGCCGUUACAAGGUUUUGCUGCGUUAAAAGGCAUGAACGGCAUACAAAAGUUCUAAAUUCACAGAGAAGACAAGUUGACAGACAGGCUUUCAUUUGCACAUAUUUGUUUCAAUCAACUAGAUUUGCCAGUGUACGAGACGUAUGAUAAACUCUGAACAAAUCUACUCAAGUCGACUUACGAAUGCACCAAAGAAUUUGGAUUUGCAUAAGCUUACCAGAAUUUGCUCCUGUACAAUUUCGAUUUCAUGCGUUCAAUCGAUGAUAUUCUAGAGACCAAACUUAUGGUUGGAUCUUUACAGCCAGUGAUAACAUUCCGGACGUGCAAUGGCCUAUUGCUUGCAAAAUUUUUAACGUGCUUACAAAAAUUGUUAUACGCAAUGCUAUUUGUAAAACUAUCUUGUGAACGUAGCGAAUCACAGUGCUCUAAUUGCUAUAAUAUGUAUUAUUACACUUAUACGAUUUUAUAAAUACGAAAUAUAUAUUUUCAUUUUAUCAUACACAUUAACUCUCAUGUAAUUAAUGGACAAUAAUUUAUUCGUUAAUAUAUACGCUAAUAAAUACGCUGAUUUUAAAAUGCA